Molecule: long non-coding RNA, 643 nt
Organism: Magnolia sinica
Lineage: Eukaryota; Viridiplantae; Streptophyta; Magnoliopsida; Magnoliales; Magnoliaceae
Exons: 4
Source: RefSeq, a predicted model, not a curated record
UUUUCUUUCUUUUCUUUUUGGUACUAAGAGAAUAAAAUUGUGUUUUUAGGUGUGCCAGCGAUACAUGUACGGCUGGGACUGUUAGGAGAAAAUAGUCAUUGGUGAUAGUUUGAAAAAUCAACUUCUCUUUUGAUAGUUGGAAAUUAAUGUAUGCAUGGCUGUUUGAGAGGAUAUAUCCACUACAAUAUAACGAGUGCACUGUCAUUAUCUUUUAGCCACUUUUUAUACAACGCACCAUACUGAAUUUUGAAUUGCAAUUUGUGCUGCUAUGGUCUUUGUUUUCAGUAUGGUGUAGGAGGACAAAUGAGCUUAUUGAUGGCUAGGUUUUCAUGUUCAUUUGGCUCGGUUUUGGAAGCGUUUGGAGUAGACCUCAUCAAGGGGUUUACAGAUUUUCAGGUGGUGGAAAAUGCAAAAAUCUAGGCAGAAACGGAGGCAACCAUGAUACGAUUGGAUAUAAGUGAAUAUAUGGAGUGGCAAAGAAAGUAGUCGGUAAGAUUAAAGUGGAAGAAGAGUAAGACAAGGUGUUCUUGUCCAGAGUAUGAUUAACCUCCUAUAAAUACCCAUCCGUAGUAAGUUCAUAAUAGAACAUAAGCAACAACAACCAUGACCAUAUAAAAAUCUCUCUUGCUUUUCUUCUUUUAAU